UUUUUUUUUUUUUGGAUGAUGGAUUUAAUUACAUUUUUUAAAUUGCUCUAGACAGAAGCAUGCUUACAAAAGUCCCAUGUCCUAUCCCUAUUCAUUUUCAUCUCUUCUUCUUCCUUUCCCAUUUUUCCUGUUUUCUCUCUUCUUUCUUUUUCUCUUAAGACUUGGAAUGUUCUAGUAGAAAUGGUAUGAGUUUCAGAAUUAGGGUCCUUAAUUGCCGCUGCUUUGUUCUUUGCAGCUGGAAGUGUAGUAAAAAAUAGUCAUGAGCUUGAUCUUGGAAUAUUUGGAAAUACAGACUCUCCCGGACACAAACCUACUCCUGCUGAAUGGGCUCUUCAUUGGAACAAGAUAUUCAGCUGACUCAUUAGCACAGUAAAGUUUUAGGAGAAUUUAUGUCACUUAAAUUUCUGAACACAGUUUUAAUUAUGAGGGUUAAAUGAGAUAAUACAUGAGUUGUACAUAGCUCUGGGGUAAAAUAUAGUUUGUGUGCUCUGUGAUGAACUCUGUUAGGAAAGACAGUCUCAGGAGCAGGUUUUUUGUUUGUUCGUUUGUUUGUUUUACAGCUGCACCUAUGGCAUAUGGAAGUUCCUGGCCUAGGAGUUGAUUUGAAGCUGCAGCUGCAGCUGCAGGCCUAUGCCACAGCCGUAGCAACACCAGAUUUGAGAUGCAUUUGUGACCUACAUUGGAUCCUUAACCCACUGAGCGAGGCCAGAGAUCAAACCCACAUUCUCAUGGAGACUAUAUUGGCUUCUUAACCUGUUGAGCCACAGCAAGAACUCCUCAUGUGCAAUCUUUAGAUCCCACCCUCCCUUCUCAGCCACAUAGAAUGGGCCAUGGGCCAGACCCAUCCUUACCAAGAGAACAAGAGCACACACAGCCUGUGCAGAGUUAAGCACCUUGUGGAGAACGGUCUUUCCCUCUUUCAGACUCAGUUGUGUACUUCUUUUAGCUGCUCAGGUAUGGGUGUCAUGUGGCACCUGGCCAACCACAGUAAUGCUUCUGUCCCCUGCAGGGAUGUGAUGGGGCCCUUUGGUAACAGCACAUGGUUUCUCUAUGCCAGCUGCUGGGAGGGACCUACUGGCCCCCCAGGGGUUUGAUACCCACUACUGAAGCUGAUCUUGCUCUGCCUCUUCUCUGUGAUGAGCAAAGCUUUGUUCUAGCCAGUGUUUGAUUGUGUUGUAUUUUCCUUGGUCACUCUGAUACCAAGAUGCAGGGGGCAGAAGUGUUUGGAUUUCUACUCUAGGUGAUAGGCAACACACAUUAUUUGCUCGACAGAUGUAUAUGUUGAAGUUUGAGCCUCCAGCACUUUAGAAUGUGACCUUCUUUGAAAAUAAUGUCAUUGUAUCUGUAAUUCAUUAAGAGGAGGUUUUAAUGGAGUAGCAUGGGCCCCUGAUCCCAAAUGACUUGUGUCCUUGUAAAAGGGAGAAAUUUGGGCACACACACACAUAAACACACACACAGAAUGCCAAGUGAACAUAAGGUAGAGACUAGGGUGAUAUGUCUAUAAGCCAGGGAACAUCAAAGAUUGCCAGCAGGGCACCACUGGAAGCUAUAGGAGAGACUUGAAACAGAUUCUCCAUUUCAGCCGUCAGGAGAAACCAACCCUGCUAACACCUUGUUCUUGAACUUCCCAAACUCUGAUACAACAGAUUUCUGUUUUUUAAGCCACCCAGUUAAUGGUGCUUUGUUCUAGAAGUCCUAGCCAACUAACGCACUGUGCUCAACUGGAAUUUUUUUUCUUAUAACAGUAAAUAAUUUCUCUUUUAGAGAAUAUUUUGGUCGCUUUUCUUUCCAUAUUCAAGCUUUAAUCAAAAGUUUUUGUGGGUCUUAAAGCACAAUGGAGAAGGUGGCAUUAAUCACAUAUAUUAUGCUUUUUAUAAAACCACUAUGAGGUCUGAUGCAAUGAAAUUCCUUUGGCAGAGGAUUUUGGUUCUGAUUCUAAUGUUUCCUCAAGGUUGGUAUUAGAUUAGAAUUUCAGUCUACAGAUUUUCAGUGUUAAUAUGACACGAUAUUGGAUUACAGAAUAAUAAUUACCAUUUUAAUAAUUUAUAUCAUUGGCUUUUUUUCAACCUUGUUCCAGCAGUAAAAGGAAUGCUGGGCGGGCUCAAGCUACGCUUCCUCGCUUGUAUUAACUCCUCCUGACACUCAGGUUUUCUAUCAUUGAGACCUGAUGUUAAUAGCCUUUCAGCUCUAUCAAACUGGAAACUUCGCCUUCUUAAAAUGCAGUUGCCAUGGGAACAGCAGAGUUCUGGGAUUUUUGUUUUCAGAAGGUAUCGGAAGACUCAGUGUCAAUACAAGAGUACACAGCAUGACAUAUUAACAUGUGCAAUUCUGUGCUGUUUUUACGUUUAAGAGAACAUGGGAAGAAAAAGGUACCUAAAUGUUUUCACUAAACCUGCCAAUGAGCUCUCAUUUCAUCUUUGUGCCAUAUUUAAUUCAUUUGUUUAUACACCCCCUUUGUUCCCAAAAGUGCUUUAGACAGCUUGGGUCAUGGAAGUUGUUACCAGACAAUUAGACAAAUACAUACAACAUGUUCCCACUGCUUCUAAUCACAUCCUCUAAAAAGGUAUCUUUUUGUUGAACCUGAGAUUAAUGGAUGUUUCUUUGCCGGGGCCAUAGCUGUACGGCUUCUUUAUUCUUAUCCCAGUGUACCCACCUCUGGUAAAACCUGCUUUUAAAAAAAUCUCUUUGUAGGGAGUUCCCGUCAUGGUGCAGUGGUUAACGAAUCCGACUAGGAACCAUGAGGUUGCGGGUUCAAUCCCUGGCCUUGCUCAGUGGGUUAAGGAUCUGGCGUUGCCGUGAGCUGUGGUGUAGGUUGCAGACGCGGCUGGGAUUCAGCAUUGCUGUGGCGAUGUUGGCUGGUGACUGCAGCUUCGAUUUGACCCCUAGCC
Molecule: long non-coding RNA, 2888 nt
Filed under: Sus scrofa (pig)
Lineage: Eukaryota; Metazoa; Chordata; Mammalia; Artiodactyla; Suidae
Description: lncRNA (ENSSSCG00040037240.1)
Source: RNAcentral